CAGUCGCCGCGGUAAUACGUAGGUGGCAAGCGUUGUCCGGAAUUAUUGGGCGUAAAGGGCUCGCAGGCGGUUUCUUAAGUCUGAUGUGAAAGCCCCCGGCUCAACCGGGGAGGGUCAUUGGAACCUGGGAAACUUGAGUGCAGAAGAGGAGAGUGGAAUUCCACGUGUAGCGGUGAAAUGCGUAGAGAUGUGGAGGAACACCAGUGGCGAAGGCGACCCUCUGGUCUGUAACUGACGCUGAGGAGCGAAAGCGUGGGGAGCGAACAGGAUUAGAUACCCGUGUAGUCCCUGUCUCUUAUAC
RNAcentral lists this ribosomal RNA (301 nucleotides) under uncultured bacterium. RNAcentral's name for it is "partial 16S ribosomal RNA". It matches the Rfam family "Bacterial small subunit ribosomal RNA", at positions 509 to 807 of the family's 1533-position model. The record is from RNAcentral.